GAUUUCUAGCCGACCGCGAUAGCCCGGUCUCGAAAGAGGCUGUGUGCAGUCGCAGGUUAGCUUUCCUUCCAGCGAACUUUGCCUACCGCUUCUGCGGCCGGGCAAAGUGAACUGGAUCUUUUACUUUGAAAAAAUUAGAGUGUUCCAAGCAGGCUUACGCCUGAAUACAUUAGCAUGGAAUAAUAAUAUAGGACUUUGGUUCUAUUUUGUUGGUUUCCGGACCAAGGUAAUGAUUGAUAGGGAUCGUUGGGGGUGCUAGUAUUCAGCGGCCAGAGGUGAAAUUCUUGGAUUCGCUGAAGACUAACUACUGCGAAAGCAUU
RNAcentral lists this ribosomal RNA (320 nucleotides) under uncultured Paulinella. Its description in RNAcentral is "SSU rRNA". The stretch from base 106 to 320 matches the Rfam family "Eukaryotic small subunit ribosomal RNA", at positions 737 to 955 of the family's 1831-position model. The record is from RNAcentral. Lineage: Eukaryota; Cercozoa; Imbricatea; Euglyphida.